CAAAAUAUAGCUUAAUUAAAGCAUCUCGCUUACACCAAGAAGUCAUCUGUGCAACUCGGAUUAUUUUGA
RNAcentral lists this transfer RNA (69 nucleotides) under Phyllodytes sp. 7 BLB-2020. RNAcentral describes it as "tRNA-Val". It matches the Rfam family "tRNA". From Rfam's summary of the family: Transfer RNA (tRNA) molecules are approximately 80 nucleotides in length. Their secondary structure includes four short double-helical elements and three loops (D, anti-codon, and T loops). Further hydrogen bonds mediate the characteristic L-shaped molecular structure. tRNAs have two regions of fundamental functional importance: the anti-codon, which is responsible for specific mRNA codon recognition, and the 3' end, to which the tRNAs corresponding amino acid is attached (by aminoacyl-tRNA synthetases). tRNAs cope with the degeneracy of the genetic code in two manners: having more than one tRNA (with a specific anti-codon) for a particular amino acid; and 'wobble' base-pairing, i.e. permitting non-standard base-pairing at the 3rd anti-codon position. Lineage: Eukaryota; Metazoa; Chordata; Amphibia; Anura; Hylidae. The record is from RNAcentral.